This 332-nucleotide long non-coding RNA is filed under the name Phoenix dactylifera (date palm). RNAcentral's name for it is "long non-coding RNA (PDAC_LNC007412)". Lineage: Eukaryota; Viridiplantae; Streptophyta; Magnoliopsida; Arecales; Arecaceae. The record is from RNAcentral.
UCGAGUGGUCAAAUACCCAGCUAGUGGGACCAGUUUAUGGAUUGAACAAGAAUAGUACGACUUCGGGCUGGGCUGGAUGGAACAAGUGCGAGCCUUUGACAAUCUUCGUACACAGCAGCCAAACUUCUAAUUUAGAAAAAUUAUUCAAACAAAAAAACUUUUACUGUUCCGGUUGAAAGGCAAAUUAGAUUUUUACAAAUAUCCAAAUUCGCUGUGCCGUAGGAAAAGAGAAGUAGAACUACUCCCACCAAAUCGAUGAGCCUGAUUAUCCCUAAACCCAAUGUGAGUUUUUCUAUUUUGACUUGCUCCCCCGCCGUGAUCGAACGAGAAUG